Molecule: ribosomal RNA, 544 nt
Filed under: uncultured Bifidobacterium sp.
Lineage: Bacteria; Bacillati; Actinomycetota; Actinomycetes; Bifidobacteriales; Bifidobacteriaceae
Description: bacterial SSU rRNA
Rfam family: Bacterial small subunit ribosomal RNA
Source: RNAcentral
CUCCUGGAAACGGGUGGUAAUGCCGGAUGUUCCACAUGAGCGCAUGCGAGUGUGGGAAAGGCUUUUUGCGGCAUGGGAUGGGGUCGCGUCCUAUCAGCUUGUUGGUGGGGUAACGGCCUACCAAGGCGUUGACGGGUAGCCGGCCUGAGAGGGCGACCGGCCACAUUGGGACUGAGAUACGGCCCAGACUCCUACGGGAGGCAGCAGUGGGGAAUAUUGCACAAUGGGCGCAAGCCUGAUGCAGCGACGCCGCGUGCGGGAUGGAGGCCUUCGGGUUGUAAACCGCUUUUGUUCAAGGGCAAGGCACGGUUUCGGCCGUGUUGAGUGGAUUGUUCGAAUAAGCAGCGGCUAACUACGUGCCAGCAGCCGCGGUAAUACGUAGGGUGCAAGCGUUAUCCGGAUUUAUUGGGCGUAAAGGGCUCGUAGGCGGGUCGUCGCGUCCGGUGUGAAAGUCCAUCGCUUAACGGUGGAUCCGCGCCGGGUACGGGCGGGCUUGAGUGCGGUAGGGGAGACUGGAAUUCCCGGUGUAACGGUGGAAUGUGUA